CCCUCGGGACUACAGAGGGAAAGAAGAGAAGUGGCUGGAGGUGAUAAAAUGUAGAGUAGCCCUAAACUCGGUGAGGCACGACGGGAGUUGUAGUUCUUCCACCUCGCGGGCUCCGUUUCCGGGCGGUUUCCCAGUAGUUUUAGCCCUGCGUGCAGCCUGGCCUAGUACGCCUCCGGCGGCGCUUUGCUUGGAGGUUGCUGCUGUUACUGUAGGGAUGUGUUUGAUGCUGGUCCAUGCAUUUGGCGACACACCCUGGAGACUCUCUUGGAUACGGACACCAUUAACGUCAAACGGAGAGUUUUAGAGCAACCAAGAGUGACCACUGUUUACCGAGCACUUUCUCUGAAGCACGCACUGCGCUACGUGCUCUCAAUAAUUAGCCACAUUCAUUUAAUCCUAUGAAGUAGGAAUUAUUUAGUCUUAUUUUACAGAUGACACUACAGGCCAACAAAAAAGCUCAGUAAGAAUUCCAUUAUGGUGGUUGGGGGGGGGGGGGCGCUUAUGUUCAAAUCAGAAGGAAUUCCAGAGGGACACCCUUCAUUUAUCAAGCACUGAAGGAGAGUAGAGAUCGUGUUGGUGCUGAGGAUUCAGUGGUGAACAUAUGCACCAGACAAGUAGAAGGACAAUCAGAAUAACUGUUAAACGCUGAUAUGAAGUUGGUUCUAUGUGAGCACCCAUGGAAGAGUAGGGAGAACAGGCAGGUAGGAGGGAAAAUGGUGGUCUGUUAGGGACUGCAAACAGUUCAGGGUGGCAGCUACGAAGGGGAGUGGUGAAAGAUGAGUAGAGCAGGGGUUGGCAAACUUUAAGGGCCAGACAGUAAAGAUUUUAGGGUUUUGUGGGCCAUACUGCCUUGGUCGCAGCUACUCAACUUGUAGCUGAAAAGAAGCCAUAGACAGUAUGAAUGGGUAGAGUUGUGUUCCAGUAAAGUUUUUUUUAUGGAUGCUGAAGUUUGAAUUUCAUGUAGUUUUCACUGUCAUGAAAUAUUAAUAUUUUGAAUUUUCAUAUAUAUAUGUAUGUAUAUAUAAAAGUUUUGUUUAUUUUGAGAGAGACAGAGAUAGCAUGAGUUGGGGAGAGGCAGAGAGAGAGGGGGAGAGAGAUAAUACCAAACAGGCUCCUCACUGCCAGGGCGGAGCCGGUCACAGGGCUUGAAACUCAAGAAACUGUGAGAUCAUUACCUGAGCCAGAACUGAGGGUCAGAUGCUUAACCAACUGAGCCACUCAGCCACCACAUCAUAUUUUGAUUUUUCCAACCGUUAAAAAAUGUAAAGGCUUUACAUUGGAAACAAAAACGGGCAGUGGGCUGGAUUUGGCUGGUUGGUAGUAUGUCCUCUCCUGAUCUGAAAGCUAAACUGGGGCCUGAUUAUCUGUGUUGUAUUAAACAAUUUAGGCUUUGGGUGGAGUCAUAGAUAAGUUUUAAGCAAGGACAGGGCAUGCAUAGGUAAAAUGAGUUUUAGAAAGAACUCUAGCUGUUAAGAACUAAAAGAACUGUAGAGGUCACAGGUGGAGACCAGAUAGGAGUCUUUUGAUGACAGCUUAAAUUAAAGUAGUAACAGUGGAAUGGAUGGACAGAUUUGAGAGGUAAUAGAAGGAGAACUGAUAGGAUACAGAGAUUGGUGGGGAUGAGGGAAAGUGAAGACUCAAGGCUAAUUUCUAGGCUUUGGGAUUGGAGAAUUAUGUGGCAUAUGGUGGUGCUAUUUAUUGAGCUGAGAGGAUUACAGGAGCUUUUUGAAGAGAGGAGGGUAUUUAAAUGUUGGACAUGUGGAUUUUGAAGUAUCUAUGGAAAAUGUAGGCAUGGAGCUUUAGAUCUGCAAAUUGUGCUGGUUUGCUUAUAAAGACGAGAUUGAGGGGUGCCUGGGUGGCUCAGUUGGUUAAGCCUCUGACUUUGGCUCAGAUCAUGAUCUCAUGGUUCCGUGGAUUCGGGCCCUGUGUUGGGCUCAGUGCUGACAGCUCAGCCUGGAGUCUGCUUUGGACUCUGUGUCUCCCUCUCUCUCUCUGCCCCUCCCCCACUCACGCUCUGUCUCUGUCAAAAAUAAAUAAACGUUGAAAAAAAUUAAAAACAUAAUAAAAUAAAGAUGAGAUUGAAUAGCAAUGACAAUACAUCCAUUUACUUAUUAAUACAAUAAUUUUUUUGGAAGAAUUCUCUGCUGUUCUGGGAGCCAAUUACACCUUGGAAGACCAUAGGAGAGCUUGACAGAGCAGAUAAGGAGUCACCAGCAUAUAAAUGGAAAUUGAAGGUAUGGGAAUUGAUGAGCUCACCCAUCAGAUGUAUAUAGAGUGAGAACAACAAGUCCUUGGAGAGGCAGCUGAGAACAGCAAUUGACUGGCAAUUGACACUGAGAAGGAACAGCCAAAAAGGCUAGCAGUAUGUGGCAGGAUCCUCUUUUGUGAUGUGGGUAGUGGCAAUGAGCCACAGCUUCUAGCCAGCCAUGAUUGCAAAGAAUGCAGUUUUCCAAGGCUUCAAACCACUCAGCAUGGAUGGCCUCCAACAGACCUGCAGCCACUAGUAGGGACUUUUAUGAUCACAUUGCGUCCAACUGGACAAUCCAGGACAUUCUCCCCAAAUCUGGUUGAAGGGAGGUCCAAGACUGGUAUGGUAGCUCAACACCACCACCAACUGACCCUUCUGUCUUGCUGUAUACCAUACUUGGCAAUGACCGGUCAGUCUCCAGAAUCAUGCAUGUGUUCCAGGCAAGAAGCAUGAAAUGGAAGAGGCGGUACCAGAAAUAGUAUUCAGCUUACAUUUCAUUUGCCAGAACUGAGUUAUAGGACCACCUCUAAUGGCAAGGACAUCUGAGAAGGAGGCUCAUCUCUUUGGUAACCAGUGCAUGCCUGGGGAGUCCUGCUUUGUGGAGCCCUUUACCUACGCCCUGGGCCAGCUUCCAAUGUGUUCUUGGCUUACUCGGUUAGAAGUAGCUGAGGAAGUUAUUUUUCAACACCAUUUUAGGCACAAAUAAGAAAAGAUACUGCGUUUUAUACAAAUGGAAGUUUUGCAUCAAGUUUUGAGUCAAGCAAGUCUAUUGGUGCCAUUGUUCCAGUAGCAGUUGUUCAUGUUGUGUCUCUGUGUCACAUUUUGGUAAUUUUCACAAUCUUUCAAACUUUUUUAUUGUUACUGUAUUUGUUGUGGUGAUCUGUGAUAAGUGAUAACUGAAAUCUCAGUGUUGGUUAGCAUUUUUUAGCAAUAAAGUAUUUUUUAUUGA
Long non-coding RNA from Panthera uncia (snow leopard), 3197 nucleotides. RefSeq lists it as uncharacterized. The record is from RefSeq and is a predicted model, not a curated record. The transcript has 8 exons. NCBI's taxonomy places the organism in Eukaryota, Metazoa, Chordata, Mammalia, Carnivora, Felidae.